UGGACCCCGAGUUCCAUUAUGUGUCCUCUGGUUCGGCUACAGCACAAGGUCUGCAGGCAGCAGUCAGACUCACCAGGCUCUUCUGAAACGUAGGAAAACAUUUCAGAUCUGCACUGUCUAAUAGAACUUGUGACACUGUCGGAAAUGUUCUGUAAUCUGCACUGCUUCAUACGGUCACCACUAGCUACUUGUGGCUACUGAGUUCCCGAAUGUGGCUGGUGCCACGUGGGAUUUGUAUUCAUUUAAAUUUAAAUUCAAGUAACCACAUAAGGUCGGCCACCACUGUGUUGGAUGCACAGCUAUGGAUGACCAACUCCCCAAGUCUUUCUGUCACCUACCCUUUCAGAAACUCCAUCUUUUCUGCAUGGUUUUCUCCUCUUGAUCUGGGC
Molecule: long non-coding RNA, 389 nt
Organism: Physeter macrocephalus (sperm whale)
Lineage: Eukaryota; Metazoa; Chordata; Mammalia; Artiodactyla; Physeteridae
Exons: 3
Source: RefSeq, a predicted model, not a curated record